GAGUCAGCCGGGCAGUCGCUGCGGAGCUUUUGCUCCGGGGAGGAAAGUCCGGGCUUCAUGGGCAGGGAUGCCAGAUAACAUCUGGGAAGCGUGAGCUUACGAAAAGCGCAGCAGAAAACAAACCGCAGGCUCCGGCCUGUAAGGGUGAAAAGGCGGGGUAAGAGCCCACCGCGUGACUGGCAACAGUUCACGGCAUUGCAAGCUCCAUCCGAAGCAAGACCGAGUAAGCCCCUGUUGAUUUUGCCCAGGAGGGGGCGGGUAGGUUGCUUGAGGCCGUCAGCAAUGGCGGUCCUAGAGGAAUGACUGCCGCCGCAAGGCACAGAACCCGGCUUACAGGCUGACUCA
Molecule: RNase P RNA, 345 nt
Filed under: bovine gut metagenome
Description: Bacterial RNase P class A
Rfam family: Bacterial RNase P class A
About the family: Ribonuclease P (RNase P) is a ubiquitous endoribonuclease, found in archaea, bacteria and eukarya as well as chloroplasts and mitochondria. Its best characterised activity is the generation of mature 5'-ends of tRNAs by cleaving the 5'-leader elements of precursor-tRNAs. Cellular RNase Ps are ribonucleoproteins.
Source: RNAcentral